UGGCUCAGUUGGUAGAGCAAUGGUGUUUGCAACGCCAGGGUUGUGGGUUCGAUUCCCAC
Molecule: transfer RNA, 59 nt
Filed under: Salmo trutta (river trout)
Lineage: Eukaryota; Metazoa; Chordata; Actinopteri; Salmoniformes; Salmonidae
Rfam family: tRNA
About the family: Transfer RNA (tRNA) molecules are approximately 80 nucleotides in length. Their secondary structure includes four short double-helical elements and three loops (D, anti-codon, and T loops). Further hydrogen bonds mediate the characteristic L-shaped molecular structure. tRNAs have two regions of fundamental functional importance: the anti-codon, which is responsible for specific mRNA codon recognition, and the 3' end, to which the tRNAs corresponding amino acid is attached (by aminoacyl-tRNA synthetases). tRNAs cope with the degeneracy of the genetic code in two manners: having more than one tRNA (with a specific anti-codon) for a particular amino acid; and 'wobble' base-pairing, i.e. permitting non-standard base-pairing at the 3rd anti-codon position.
Source: Rfam by way of RNAcentral